GCCUGACCAGCGGCAACCAGCCAGACCGACCCGUGCCCGCGUUCUUGUAAGCGGAAGGUUCGGGGUUCGAGUCCCCGCGUCGGCUCCA
RNAcentral lists this transfer RNA (88 nucleotides) under Actinomycetota bacterium. RNAcentral describes it as "tRNA-OTHER". The record is from RNAcentral. Lineage: Bacteria; Bacillati; Actinomycetota.